This 119-nucleotide ribosomal RNA is filed under the name Pteropus alecto (black flying fox). The record is from RNAcentral. Lineage: Eukaryota; Metazoa; Chordata; Mammalia; Chiroptera; Pteropodidae.
GUCUACGUCCAUGCUACCCUGAACAAGCCCAAUCCCGUCUGAUCUCUGAAGCUAAACAGGGUCAGGACUGGUUAGUACUUGGAUGGCAGACCACCUAGGAAGACCAGGUGCUGUAGGUG